GGGUGAGUAAUACAUCGGAACGUACCUUGUAGUGGGGGAUAGCUCGGCGAAAGCCGGAUUAAUACCGCAUACGCUCUGAGGAGGAAAGCGGGGGACCUUCGGGCCUCGCGCUACAAGAGCGGCCGAUGUCAGAUUAGCUAGUUGGUGGGGUAAAAGCUCACCAAGGCGACGAUCUGUAGCUGGUCUGAGAGGACGACCAGCCACACUGGGACUGAGACACGGCCCAGACUCCUACGGGAGGCAGCAGUGGGGAAUUUUGGACAAUGGGCGAAAGCCUGAUCCAGCAAUGCCGCGUGUGUGAAGAAGGCCUUCGGGUUGUAAAGCACUUUUGUCCGGAAAGAAAUCCUCUGGGUUAAUACCUCGGGGGGAUGACGGUACCGGAAGAAUAAGCACCGGCUAACUACGUGCCAGCAGCCGCGGUAAUACGUAGGGUGCAAGCGUUAAUCGGAAUUACUGGGCGUAAAGCGUGCGCAGGCGGUUUUGUAAGACGGAUGUGAAAUCCCCGGGCUUAACCUGGGAACUGCAUUCGUGACUGCAAGGCUAGAGUAUGGCAGAGGGGGGUAGAAUUCCACGUGUAGCAGUGAAAUGCGUAGAGAUGUGGAGGAAUACCGAUGGCGAA
Molecule: ribosomal RNA, 619 nt
Filed under: Pandoraea pnomenusa
Lineage: Bacteria; Pseudomonadati; Pseudomonadota; Betaproteobacteria; Burkholderiales; Burkholderiaceae
Description: bacterial SSU rRNA
Rfam family: Bacterial small subunit ribosomal RNA
Source: RNAcentral